CAAGUGACCCCGGUCUAACCACCGGGAUGUUCAUAACCCUUUGUUGUCCGACUCUGUUGCCUCCGGGGGCGACCCUGCCUUCGGGCGGGGGCUCCGGGUGGACACUUCAAAACUCUUGCGUAACUUUGCAGUCUGAGUAAAACUUAAUUAAUAAAUUA
Molecule: unclassified non-coding RNA, 158 nt
Filed under: soil metagenome
Description: partial internal transcribed spacer 1
Source: RNAcentral